UACGUAGGGUGCGAGCGUUGUCCGGAAUUAUUGGGCGUAAAGGGCUCGUAGGCGGUUUGUCGCGUCGGGAGUGAAAACCCAGGGCUUAACCCUGGGCUGGCUUCCGAUACGGGCAGACUAGAGGUAUGCAGGGGAGAACGGAAUUCCUGGUGUAGCGGUGAAAUGCGUAGAUAUCUGGAGGAACACCGGUGGCGAAGGCGGCGUUCUGGACUGUCUCUGACACUGAAGAACGAAAGCCAGGGGAGCAAACGGG
Molecule: ribosomal RNA, 253 nt
Filed under: uncultured bacterium
Lineage: Bacteria
Description: partial 16S ribosomal RNA
Rfam family: Bacterial small subunit ribosomal RNA
Source: RNAcentral